CGAGUAAGGGGCGGUGGUAGCGUCUGCUCGGUUACAAAUGGCCCCUCCCGCCCCGCUCGCCCGCUCGCUCGGGCUCGGCGCGGACCCGCCCGGGCGCACUCCUCCCAGUGGCUCUCGGCGUCCCGGCGUCCCGCCGCCCUGCCCGGAGCCGGCCGCGGUCCCCUCUACCCCUGAGGGCACUCCCGGCACCCAGCACAGAGGCUCGCCCGGGGAGGUCGCGACGGGAGGCUGGCCCGCGGUGGCCCGCGGCUCGCCUACCCGCAGGUGUUCCUUUGAUACAGUGGAUGGUGACUCUGCUGUUCUGCCUGGGAGUGGUUCAAAAUGCUGACCACACUCCUGCUCCUGUUCCUGACCCAAGGAAGCCCCCAUGCAGAGCACCCGUGUCCUCUCUGAAUGGGACCAGCAGCUGGAUGCUGAGUACCAAUAGCAUCUGCCCUGAUUUCCUUUGAGGAUGGAGAGCAGAGCCAAGCUGCAGGGCCUGGUGUUCCAGCUGCUGUGCAGCCCUGGGCUGCCAGGGCACUCCGUGAUGGCCUUUGUCCUUAGCAUCACCAUCUCCUAAGACACAUAGAAGAGUGGGACAGUAACAGAAGGACACAAAAGAUACCGAAUCCGAGGAAGGCCCUGAAGGUCCAGUAACUUUGCCCUAGGGACACAGGUGAAUCUUAGGAAGAGCCCUGGAGGGCAGCUGCCAGCCGAAGGGCAGGGCGGGGCGCUGUUUUCGCCAUGACCACCUGAUCUCUUCUCGGCUCUUCUUGGUGUGCACGACUGCUCCACUCGUCCGCGUUAACUCUCAUGAUGUGUUUGGGAUGCGCUCCCCCUCUUUGUAGGACUGAGUCAGGGAGAUGUUCUCCCUCCUCGGAGGAUUCCAUUCUGAGCCCAGUCGCCUUAGUAGAUGCGGGAGCUACUCCACGUGGCCUUUGAGGUCUGGGUACCCUGGGCAAAUUGAGAGGGAGGGGGUCUUGGCAGAGUAACCACUCAGAACUCAAGGUAAGAACCGUCCAUCUCUGGUUUUUGUGUUUGGCAGUAGAGGCAUGGGAACCCCUGCAUUCCUCGCAUGUGAGUAUCAGGACUUGAGGAAAAAUCUGUACUCAGAACUUGGUUGCCAGUGGGGAGGGGGGAGGGGGGAGGUAGAGGUAGGGGAUUAAGAGGUACAAACUGUUGGGUAUAAAAUGAGCUACAAGAGGCGUUCCCUUCGUGGCUCAGCAGUUAAUGAACAUGACUAGGAUCCAUGAGGAUGUGGGUUUGAUCCCUGGCCUCGCUCAGUGGGUUAAGGAUCUGGCUUAGGUGUAGAUCACAGAUGCAGCUCCAAUCCCGUGCUGCUGUGGCUGUGGUGUCAGCUGGCAGCUCUAGCUCUGAUUCUACCCCUAGCCUGGGAACUUCCAUAUGCCGUGGAUGUGGCCCUAAAAAGACAAAAAUAAGCUAGAAGGAUAUAUUGUACAAUAUGGGGAAUAUGGCACAUAUUUUAUAUAUAUUUCAAAAUUGCAAAUCACUAUAUUGCACACCUCUAGGAGUUCCCACUGUGGUGCAAUGGGAUCGGUGGUGUCCCGGAGCACCAGGACACAGGUUUGAUCCCCAGCCCAGCACAGUGGGUUAAGGAUCCAGCACUGCCGCAACUGUGGCACAGAUUCAAUCCCUGGCCUGGGAACUCCAUACAUGGGGUGGCCAAAAAAGAAAACAAAAUAAAAACCUAUACUUAUAAAAAGGAAAAGAAAAA
RNAcentral lists this long non-coding RNA (1714 nucleotides) under Sus scrofa (pig). Its description in RNAcentral is "lncRNA (ENSSSCG00035041892.1)". Lineage: Eukaryota; Metazoa; Chordata; Mammalia; Artiodactyla; Suidae. The record is from RNAcentral.